This 492-nucleotide ribosomal RNA is filed under the name uncultured bacterium. RNAcentral describes it as "partial 16S ribosomal RNA". It matches the Rfam family "Bacterial small subunit ribosomal RNA", at positions 29 to 507 of the family's 1533-position model. The record is from RNAcentral.
AGUGAACGCUGGCGGUAGGCCUAACACGUGCGAGUCGAACGGCAGCACAGUAAGAGCUUGCUCUUACGGGUGGCGAGUGGCGGACGAGUGAGGAAUACAUCGGAAUCUACUUUUUCGUGGGGGAUAACGUAGGGAAACUUACGCUAAUACCGCAUACGACCUACGGGUGAAAGCAGGGGAUCUUCGGACCUUGCGCGAUUGAAUGAGCCGAUGUCGGAUUAGCUAGUUGGCGGGGUAAAGGCCCACCAAGGCGACGAUCCGUAGCUGGUCUGAGAGGAUGAUCAGCCACACUGGAACUGAGACACGGUCCAGACUCCUACGGGAGGCAGCAGUGGGGAAUAUUGGACAAUGGGCGCAAGCCUGAUCCAGCCAUACCGCGUGGGUGAAGAAGGCCUUCGGGUUGUAAAGCCCUUUUGUUGGGAAAGAAAAGCAGCAGGUUAAUACCCCGCUGUUCUGACGGUACCCAAAGAAUAAGCACCGGCUAACUUCGUG